GAUGAACGCUGGCGGCGUGCUUAACACAUGCAAGUCGAACGAAGCGCUUAAACGGAUUUCUUCGGAUUGAAGUUUUUGCGACUGAGUGGCGGACGGGUGAGUAACGCGUGGGUAACCUGCCUCAUACAGGGGGAUAACAGUUAGAAAUGACUGCUAAUACCGCAUAAGACCACAGCACCGCAUGGUGCAGGGGUAAAAACUCCGGUGGUAUGAGAUGGAUCCGCGUCUGAUUAGCUAGUUGGUAAGGUAACGGCUUACCAAGGCAACGAUCAGUAGCCGACCUGAGAGGGUGACCGGCCACAUUGGGACUGAGACACGGCCCAA
This 324-nucleotide ribosomal RNA is filed under the name uncultured bacterium. RNAcentral's name for it is "bacterial SSU rRNA". It matches the Rfam family "Bacterial small subunit ribosomal RNA", at positions 28 to 334 of the family's 1533-position model. The record is from RNAcentral.